This 460-nucleotide ribosomal RNA is filed under the name uncultured bacterium. Its description in RNAcentral is "partial 16S ribosomal RNA". It matches the Rfam family "Bacterial small subunit ribosomal RNA", at positions 338 to 795 of the family's 1533-position model. The record is from RNAcentral.
CCUACGGGUGGCAGCAGUGAGGAAUAUUGGUCAAUGGACGAGAGUCUGAACCAGCCAAGUAGCGUGAGGGAAUACUGCCCUAUGGGUUGUAAACUUCUUUUAUGUGGGAAUAAAAUGUUCCACGUGUAGGAUUUUGUCUGUACCAUAUGAAUAAGGAUCGGCUAACUCCGUGCCAGCAGCCGCGGUAAUACGGAGGAUCCGAGCGUUAUCCGGAUGUAUUGGGUUUAAAGGUAGCGUAGGUGGAUUGUUAAGUCAGGUGUGAAAGGUUGCGGCUCAACUGUAAAAUUGCAGAUGAAACUGGCAGUCUUGAGUACAGUAGAGGUGGGCGGAAUUCGUGGUGUAGCAGUGAAAUGCGUAGAUAUCACGAAGAACUCUGAUUGCGAAGGCAGUUCACUGGACUGCAACUGACACUGAGGCUCGAAAGUGAGGGUAUCAAACAGGAUUAGAUACCCUAGUAGUC